RNAcentral lists this unclassified non-coding RNA (214 nucleotides) under Hevea brasiliensis (rubber tree). The record is from RNAcentral. Lineage: Eukaryota; Viridiplantae; Streptophyta; Magnoliopsida; Malpighiales; Euphorbiaceae.
AGAAAGUCGAAAGAAGAGACAACAUAGUGACGAAUUUCUAAGCCCUACAAAAUCUAGAAAACAAAAGACAGCAUGUAAUUUUUAAACAAGCAGUUGUCACUAUUAAAAUGAGAAGAAUAAAACUAUUAACAUUUUGAACAGAAGUUAACAUCAAAUUUCAAAACCAAUUUUUUUGAAGCUACUUUGCGAAUGGAGGAAAAACAAUGGAAGGUAG